UCCGCCCCCUCGCCGCCCGCGCGUCCAGCUGCUCCCACGCUCUCCGCGGUCCUAGGGGUGAGAGACCCGGAAGCCGCGCCCCAACUCGUCUCCGGCAUGUGGGCAGCGGGGCAUUCUGGGGGGAUAAGGAAACGAGCUGUGAGAGUAUAACUGCCUGCUCAGGGACUCCGCUGAGGCCCACAAACCCACAUGAAUGCUCUCUGCGCCACUAAGCUGCUAAGUUGAUUGGUCCAUGGACAGACAUUAGUUUUCUGAAAGACUCAAAGUAAUGCCAAGAACUUCCAGGUGAAGGAGACCUUCAUAGACCUGUAACUGGAUUAGCCACUUCUUGAAUUGCAAGAGGAAGUUACAACUAAUUCUCAGGAUCAAAGUCAAAACAAGCCUGUGACUCCAUGAAUACUGAAGGCAACCACGGUAGAUCCCAGAGACCAAAGCCCCAGUGAGCAAGAGGGGCCAGCUUCUUCCCACCUCCGGCCACCAGCCUGUGCUGCCUACAUACGGCCUCCUCUGCUGUAGAACCCAUGGGGAAGCAGCGCACACAAUGGCGUGCGUGUUCCCGGCUUCUGGCUGCUCUGGGCACCCUCAAGGAAGC
Heterocephalus glaber (naked mole-rat) is the source of this 592-nucleotide long non-coding RNA. RefSeq lists it as uncharacterized. NCBI's taxonomy places the organism in Eukaryota, Metazoa, Chordata, Mammalia, Rodentia, Bathyergidae. The record is from RefSeq and is a predicted model, not a curated record.